This 426-nucleotide ribosomal RNA is filed under the name uncultured bacterium. RNAcentral describes it as "bacterial SSU rRNA". It matches the Rfam family "Bacterial small subunit ribosomal RNA", at positions 917 to 1344 of the family's 1533-position model. The record is from RNAcentral.
GGGCCCGCACAAGCGGUGGAGUAUGUGGUUUAAUUCGAUGCAACGCGAAGAACCUUACCAGGGUUUGACAUCCUGCGAACCUCUGGGAAACCGGAGGGUGCCUUCGGGAACGCAGUGACAGGUGGUGCAUGGCUGUCGUCAGCUCGUGUCGUGAGAUGUUGGGUUAAGUCCCGCAACGAGCGCAACCCACGUCUUUAGUUGCCAGCAUUUAGUUGGGCACUCUAGAGAGACCGCCGGUGACAAACCGGAGGAAGGUGUGGAUGACGUCAAGUCAUCAUGCCCCUUACGUCCUGGGCUACACACGUACUACAAUGCUACGGACAAAGAGCAGCUAACUCGCGAGAGUACGCAAAUCUCAUAAACCGUGGCUCAGUUCAGAUCGUAGGCUGCAACUCGCCUACGUGAAGGCGGAAUCGCUAGUAAUCG